GGGGAAGUGGCGAAAUUGGUAGACGCACCAGAUUUAGGUUCUGGCGCCUUCGGUAUGUGGGUUCGAGUCCCAUCUUCCCCACCA
Molecule: transfer RNA, 84 nt
Filed under: Succinatimonas sp.
Lineage: Bacteria; Pseudomonadati; Pseudomonadota; Gammaproteobacteria; Aeromonadales; Succinivibrionaceae
Description: tRNA-Leu
Rfam family: tRNA
About the family: Transfer RNA (tRNA) molecules are approximately 80 nucleotides in length. Their secondary structure includes four short double-helical elements and three loops (D, anti-codon, and T loops). Further hydrogen bonds mediate the characteristic L-shaped molecular structure. tRNAs have two regions of fundamental functional importance: the anti-codon, which is responsible for specific mRNA codon recognition, and the 3' end, to which the tRNAs corresponding amino acid is attached (by aminoacyl-tRNA synthetases). tRNAs cope with the degeneracy of the genetic code in two manners: having more than one tRNA (with a specific anti-codon) for a particular amino acid; and 'wobble' base-pairing, i.e. permitting non-standard base-pairing at the 3rd anti-codon position.
Source: RNAcentral